CAGCACCUCAAGUGGUCAGGAUGAUUAUUGGGCCUAAAGCAUCCGUAGCCGGCGCUGUAGGUUUUCGGUUAAAUCUGUACGCUCAACGUACAGGCUGCCGGGAAUACUGUAGCGCUAGGGAGUGGGAGAGGUAGACGGUACUCGGUAGGAAGGGGUAAAAUCCUUUGAUCUAUUGAUGACCACCUGUGGCGAAGGCGGUCUACCAGAACACGUCCGACGGUGAGGGAUGAAAGCUGGGGGAGCAAACCGGAUUAGAUACCCGAGUAGUCC
Molecule: ribosomal RNA, 270 nt
Filed under: uncultured archaeon
Lineage: Archaea
Description: partial 16S ribosomal RNA
Rfam family: Archaeal small subunit ribosomal RNA
Source: RNAcentral